Molecule: ribosomal RNA, 245 nt
Filed under: uncultured bacterium
Lineage: Bacteria
Description: partial 16S ribosomal RNA
Rfam family: Bacterial small subunit ribosomal RNA
Source: RNAcentral
UACGAAGGGGGCUAGCGUUGCUCGGAAUUACUGGGCGUAAAGGGCGCGUAGGCGGACAGUUAAGUCAGGAGUUAAAGCCCAGGGCUCAACCUUGGAAUCGCUUUUGAUACUGGCUGUCUUGAGUACGGGAGAGGUGUGUGGAACUCCGAGUGUAGAGGUGAAAUUCGUAGAUAUUCGGAAGAACACCAGUGGCGAAGGCGACACACUGGCCCGUUACUGACGCUGAGGCGCGAAAGCGUGGGGAG